GUGGGUAUAGCUCAGUGGUAGUGUGCAUGUUUAGCAUGCAUGGGGUCCCAGCUUCAAUCCCUGGUACCUCCA
RNAcentral lists this transfer RNA (72 nucleotides) under Camelus bactrianus (Bactrian camel). It matches the Rfam family "tRNA". Rfam says of the family: Transfer RNA (tRNA) molecules are approximately 80 nucleotides in length. Their secondary structure includes four short double-helical elements and three loops (D, anti-codon, and T loops). Further hydrogen bonds mediate the characteristic L-shaped molecular structure. tRNAs have two regions of fundamental functional importance: the anti-codon, which is responsible for specific mRNA codon recognition, and the 3' end, to which the tRNAs corresponding amino acid is attached (by aminoacyl-tRNA synthetases). tRNAs cope with the degeneracy of the genetic code in two manners: having more than one tRNA (with a specific anti-codon) for a particular amino acid; and 'wobble' base-pairing, i.e. permitting non-standard base-pairing at the 3rd anti-codon position. The record is from Rfam by way of RNAcentral. RNAcentral also lists the same sequence under 1 other name. Lineage: Eukaryota; Metazoa; Chordata; Mammalia; Artiodactyla; Camelidae.